AACGAACGCUGGCGGCGUGGAUAAGACAUGCAAGUCGAACGGGAUUCUCCAAGGUAGCAAUAUUGAGGAGGGUCUAGUGGCGUAAGGGUGCGUAACACGUGGGCAAUCUGCCGAAAAGUGGGGGAUAGCUCGUCGAAAGGCGAAUUAAUACCGCAUGUGGUUUGAGUGGGAUUCCACUCGCUACCAAAGUCGGUCGUAGCAAUACGGCUGACGCUUUUUGAUGAGCCCGCGGCCUAUCAGCUAGUUGGCGGGGUAAAAGCCCACCAAGGCUAUGACGGGUAGCUGGUCUGAGAGGACGACCAGCCACACUGGAACUGAGACACGGUCCAGACACCUACGGGUGGCAGCAGUCGAGAAUUUUUCUCAAUGGGGGAAACCCUGAAGGAGCGACGCCGCGUGGAGGAUGAAGGUCUUCGGAUUGUAAACUCCUGUCAUUUGGGAACAAACUGCACGGAUUAACUGUCUGUGCACUGAUAGUACCAGAAGAGGAAGAGACGGCUAACUCUGUGCCAGCAGCCGCGGUAAUACAGAGGUCUCGAGCGUUGUUCGGAUUCAUUGGGCGUAAAGGGUGCGUAGGUGGUUUGGUAAGUCGGAUGUGAAAUCCCGGGGCUCAACCCCGGAACUGCAUUCGAUACUGCUUUAACUUGAGUGCUGGAGAGGAGAUCGGAAUUUACGGUGUAGCAGUGAAAUGCGUAGAUAUCGUAAGGAAGACCAGUGGCGAAGGCGGAUCUCUGGACAGCAACUGACACUGAGGCACGAAGGCCAGGGGAGCAAACGGGAUUAGAUACCCCGGUAGUCCUGGCAGUAAACGGUGCGCGUUUGGUGUGGGAGGAUUCGACCCCUUCCGUGCCGGAGCUAACGCGUUAAACGCGUCGCCUGGGGAGUACGGUCGCAAGAUUA
This 900-nucleotide ribosomal RNA is filed under the name uncultured bacterium. RNAcentral's name for it is "bacterial SSU rRNA". It matches the Rfam family "Bacterial small subunit ribosomal RNA", at positions 28 to 896 of the family's 1533-position model. The record is from RNAcentral.